RNAcentral lists this long non-coding RNA (257 nucleotides) under Capsicum annuum. Its description in RNAcentral is "long non-coding RNA (CANN_LNC022507)". Lineage: Eukaryota; Viridiplantae; Streptophyta; Magnoliopsida; Solanales; Solanaceae. The record is from RNAcentral.
AUGGAUAACCCUAAUCUAAAUAGUUUGUGCAUUAUUUUAGUUUUGGUAAAGGUAUGCCCUCAAUAUGUUUGAUAAAAUGCCUAAAAGAAUGUUUUCACUCUAUUAUUGAAUUUUCAUUGGAAGUCUUGCAUGGUAUGGCUUGGUAAUGGAAGCCUAAAUGGAUUUGGAUAGUUUUGCAUGGUUUGAAUAACAUAAGUGUUUUAAAUAUUUGGCUUGGUCUAAAAUGGUUUGGAAUGAUUUAAAGGGUAAGGUUUUAG